RNAcentral lists this ribosomal RNA (342 nucleotides) under uncultured bacterium. Its description in RNAcentral is "bacterial SSU rRNA". It matches the Rfam family "Bacterial small subunit ribosomal RNA", at positions 64 to 434 of the family's 1533-position model. The record is from RNAcentral.
GAGCGCCGUAGCAAUACGGAGCGGCAGACGGGAGAGUAACACGUGGGAACGUGCCCUUCAGUUCGGAACAACUCAGGGAAACUUGGGCUAAUACCGAAUACGUCCGUAAGGAGAAAGAUUUAUCGCUGAAGGAUCGGCCCGCGUCUGAUUAGCUAGUUGGUGGGGUAACGGCCCACCAAGGCGACGAUCAGUAGCUGGUCUGAGAGGAUGAUCAGCCACACUGGAACUGAGACACGGUCCAGACUCCUACGGGAGGCAGCAGUGGGGAAUCUUGCGCAAUGGACGAAAGUCUGACGCAGCGACGCCGCGUGGGUGAUGAAGGCCCUCGGGUUGUAAAGCCCU